This 497-nucleotide ribosomal RNA is filed under the name uncultured bacterium. Its description in RNAcentral is "partial 16S ribosomal RNA". It matches the Rfam family "Bacterial small subunit ribosomal RNA", at positions 28 to 507 of the family's 1533-position model. The record is from RNAcentral.
GAUGAACGCUGGCGGCGUGCCUAAUACAUGCAAGUCGAGCGAACGGACGAGAAGCUUGCUUCUCUGAUGUUAGCGGCGGACGGGUGAGUAACACGUGGAUAACCUACCUAUAAGACUGGGAUAACUUCGGGAAACCGGAGCUAAUACCGGAUAAUAUUUUGAACCGCAUGGUCCAAAAGUGAAAGACGGUCUUGCUGUCACUUAUAGAUGGAUCCGCGCUGCAUUAGCUAGUUGGUAAGGUAACGGCUUACCAAGGCAACGAUGCAUAGCCGACCUGAGAGGGUGAUCGGCCACACUGGAACUGAGACACGGUCCAGACUCCUACGGGAGGCAGCAGUAGGGAAUCUUCCGCAAUGGGCGAAAGCCUGACGGAGCAACGCCGCGUGAGUGAUGAAGGUCUUCGGAUCGUAAAACUCUGUUAUUAGGGAAGAACAUAUGUGUAAGUAACUGUGCACAUCUUGACGGUAUCUAAUCAGAAAGCCACGGCUAACUACGUG